RNAcentral lists this transfer RNA (73 nucleotides) under Vicugna pacos (alpaca). RNAcentral describes it as "tRNA-Thr (AGT) (tRNA-Thr-AGT-36-1)". It matches the Rfam family "tRNA". From Rfam's summary of the family: Transfer RNA (tRNA) molecules are approximately 80 nucleotides in length. Lineage: Eukaryota; Metazoa; Chordata; Mammalia; Artiodactyla; Camelidae. The record is from RNAcentral.
GGUGGAUAUAGCUCAGUGGUAGAGCAUGUGCUUAGUAUGCACAAGGUCCUGGGUUCAAUCCCCGGUACCUCCA